GGUAUCUGACAUAUGUCGCCGGGUCACUAACACACUAAGAGCCCUAUACCGGCUUAAACAUUUCCUUCCGACUGGCACUAAAGUUCUCCUUGUUCAAGCUCUUGUAUUACCUAUUGUAGACUAUGCUGAUGUGUGUUACACGAAUAUCACAGAAGUCUCUCUGAGCAAACUAGAUCGGCUUCUUAAUAACAGCAUCAGAUUUAUUUUCGGACUCCGUAAAUAUGACCACAUAUCUGCAUAUCGCCGCCGACUUAACUGGCUCCCUAUUCGAGAACGGAGGUCCUUGCUCCUGUAGUCUCAAGCUUACUGUUCCUUCUCAUCGCACCGGUUUUGUCUCUAACUCCUUCACCCUUCACGCGAUCCGGCUUUGGAAUGAUCUCCCACUCAACAUCAGACAGGCUCCAACCAAGCUCUCGUUUAAGCGCAUGUUACGCAAGCAUUUUUUCGACAAG
Molecule: long non-coding RNA, 452 nt
Organism: Cydia strobilella
Lineage: Eukaryota; Metazoa; Arthropoda; Insecta; Lepidoptera; Tortricidae
Exons: 2
Source: RefSeq, a predicted model, not a curated record